RNAcentral lists this ribosomal RNA (468 nucleotides) under uncultured bacterium. RNAcentral's name for it is "partial 16S ribosomal RNA". It matches the Rfam family "Bacterial small subunit ribosomal RNA", at positions 28 to 507 of the family's 1533-position model. The record is from RNAcentral.
GACGAACGCUGGCGGCGUGCCUAACGCAUGCAAGUCGAACGGAAAGGCCCUGCUUUUGUGGGGUGCUCGAGUGGCGAACGGGUGAGUAACACGUGAGUAACCUGCCCUUGACUUUGGGAUAACUUCAGGAAACUGGGGCUAAUACCGGAUAGGAGCUCCUGCUGCAUGGUGGGGGUUGGAAAGUUUCGGCGGUUGGGGAUGGACUCGCGGCUUAUCAGCUUGUUGGUGGGGUAGUGGCUUACCAAGGCUUUGACGGGUAGCCGGCCUGAGAGGGUGACCGGCCACAUUGGGACUGAGAUACGGCCCAGACUCCUACGGGAGGCAGCAGUGGGGAAUAUUGCACAAUGGGCGGAAGCCUGAUGCAGCAACGCCGCGUGCGGGAUGACGGCCUUCGGGUUGUAAACCGCUUUCGCCUGUGACGAAGCGUGAGUGACGGUAAUGGGUAAAGAAGCACCGGCUAACUACGUG